RNAcentral lists this unclassified non-coding RNA (78 nucleotides) under Epilithonimonas hominis. Its description in RNAcentral is "Chryseobacterium hominis Flavo-1 RNA". Lineage: Bacteria; Pseudomonadati; Bacteroidota; Flavobacteriia; Flavobacteriales; Weeksellaceae. The record is from RNAcentral.
ACGCAGCCCGGCUUGAGAGGAGCUCUUUUUGUUUUUAGAAAAAAAAACAAAAAAGCGGGAGCGGAAGACGGAAAAGCU